RNAcentral lists this ribosomal RNA (468 nucleotides) under uncultured bacterium. RNAcentral describes it as "partial 16S ribosomal RNA". It matches the Rfam family "Bacterial small subunit ribosomal RNA", at positions 28 to 507 of the family's 1533-position model. The record is from RNAcentral.
GACGAACGCUGGCGGCGUGCUUAACACAUGCAAGUCGAACGGAAAGACCCUGCUUUUGUGGGGUGCUCGAGUGGCGAACGGGUGAGUAACACGUGAGUAACCUGCCCUUGACUUUGGGAUAACUUCAGGAAACUGGGGCUAAUACCGGAUAGGAGCUCCUGCUGCAUGGUGGGGGUUGGAAAGUUUCGGCGGUUGGGGAUGGACUCGCGGCUUAUCAGCUUGUUGGUGGGGUAGUGGCUUACCAAGGCUUUGACGGGUAGCCGGCCUGAGAGGGUGACCGGCCACAUUGGGACUGAGAUACGGCCCAGACUCCUACGGGAGGCAGCAGUGGGGAAUAUUGCACAAUGGGCGGAAGCCUGAUGCAGCAACGCCGCGUGCGGGAUGACGACCUUCGGGUUGUAAACCGCUUUCGACUGUGACGAAGCGUGAGUGACGGUAAUGGGUAAAGAAGCACCGGCUAACUACGUG